This 836-nucleotide ribosomal RNA is filed under the name Salmonella enterica subsp. enterica serovar Enteritidis. Its description in RNAcentral is "partial 23S ribosomal RNA". It matches the Rfam family "Bacterial large subunit ribosomal RNA", at positions 731 to 1566 of the family's 2925-position model. Lineage: Bacteria; Pseudomonadati; Pseudomonadota; Gammaproteobacteria; Enterobacterales; Enterobacteriaceae. The record is from RNAcentral.
UAGCCAUGGGCAGGUUGAAGGUUGGGUAACACUAACUGGAGGACCGAACCGACUAAUGUUGAAAAAUUAGCGGAUGACCUGUGGCUGGGGGUGAAAGGCCAAUCAAACCGGGAGAUAGCUGGUUCUCCCCGAAAGCUAUUUAGGUAGCGCCUCGUGAAUUCAUCUCCGGGGGUAGAGCACUGUUUCGGCUAGGGGGCCAUCCCGGCUUACCAACCCGAUGCAAACUGCGAAUACCGGAGAAUGUUAUCACGGGAGACACACGGCGGGUGCUAACGUCCGUCGUGAAGAGGGAAACAACCCAGACCGCCAGCUAAGGUCCCAAAGUCAUGGUUAAGUGGGAAACGAUGUGGGAAGGCCCAGACAGCCAGGAUGUUGGCUUAGAAGCAGCCAUCAUUUAAAGAAAGCGUAAUAGCUCACUGGUCGAGUCGGCCUGCGCGGAAGAUGUAACGGGGCUAAACCAUGCACCGAAGCUGCGGCAGCGACACUGUGUGUUGUUGGGUAGGGGAGCGUUCUGUAAGCCUGUGAAGGUGUGUCGUGAGGCAUGCUGGAGGUAUCAGAAGUGCGAAUGCUGACAUAAGUAACGAUAAAGCGGGUGAAAAGCCCGCUCGCCGGAAGACCAAGGGUUCCUGUCCAACGUUAAUCGGGGCAGGGUGAGUCGACCCCUAAGGCGAGGCCGAAAGGCGUAGUCGAUGGGAAACGGGUUAAUAUUCCCGUACUUGGUGUUACUGCGAAGGGGGGACGGAGAAGGCUAUGUUGGCCGGGCGACGGUUGUCCCGGUUUAAGCGUGUAGGUGUGUGUUCCAGGUAAAUCCGGUUCACUUUAACACUGAGGCGUGA